ACGGCAGCACAGGAGAGCUUGCUCUCUGGGUGGCGAGUGGCGGACGGGUGAGGAAUACAUCGGAAUCUACUUUUUCGUGGGGGAUAACGUAGGGAAACUUACGCUAAUACCGCAUACGACCUACGGGUGAAAGCAGGGGAUCUUCGGACCUUGCGCGAUUGAAUGAGCCGAUGUCGGAUUAGCUAGUUGGCGGGGUAAAGGCCCACCAAGGCGACGAUCCGUAGCUGGUCUGAGAGGAUGAUCAGCCACACUGGAACUGAGACACGGUCCAGACUCCUACGGGAGGCAGCAGUGGGGAAUAUUGGACAAUGGGCGCAAGCCUGAUCCAGCCAUACCGCGUGGGUGAAGAAGGCCUUCGGGUUGUAAAGCCCUUUUGUUGGGAAAGAAAUCCAGCCGGCUAAUACCUGGUUGGGAUGACGGUACCCAAAGAAUAAGCACCGGCUAACUUCGUGCCAGCAGCCGCGGUAAUACGAAGGGUGCAAGCGUUACUCGGAAUUACUGGGCGUAAAGCGUGCGUAGGUGGUUAUUUAAGUCCGUUGUGAAAGCCCUGGGCUCAACCUGGGAACUGCAGUGGAUACUGGAUGACUAGAGUGUGGUAGAGGGUAGCGGAAUUCCUGGUGUAGCAGUGAAAUGCGUAGAGAUCAGGAGGAACAUCCAUGGCGAAGGCAGCUACCUGGACCAACACUGACACUGAGGCACGAAAGCGUG
RNAcentral lists this ribosomal RNA (708 nucleotides) under uncultured Gammaproteobacteria bacterium. RNAcentral describes it as "bacterial SSU rRNA". It matches the Rfam family "Bacterial small subunit ribosomal RNA", at positions 66 to 763 of the family's 1533-position model. The record is from RNAcentral. Lineage: Bacteria; Pseudomonadati; Pseudomonadota; Gammaproteobacteria.